This 253-nucleotide ribosomal RNA is filed under the name uncultured bacterium. RNAcentral's name for it is "partial 16S ribosomal RNA". It matches the Rfam family "Bacterial small subunit ribosomal RNA", at positions 524 to 776 of the family's 1533-position model. The record is from RNAcentral.
UACAGAGGGGGCAAGCGUUGUUCGGAAUUACUGGGCGUAAAGGGCGCGUAGGCGGUCUUCUAAGUCGAACGUGAAAUCCCCGGGCUCAACCCGGGAACUGCGUCCGAUACUGGAAGGCUUGAAUCCGGGAGAGGGAUGCGGAAUUCCAGGUGUAGCGGUGAAAUGCGUAGAUAUCAAGUGGAACACCAGUGGCGAAGGCGAGUCCCUGGACAAUUCCUGACACUGAGGCACGAAAGCUAGGGGAGCAAACAGG